UGUGGGAGCGGGCUUGCUCGCGAUUCAAGCGACGCGGUGUAUUUGAUUCACCGCGCUGAUGCCAUCGCGAGCAAGCCCGCUCCCACA
Molecule: non-coding RNA, 87 nt
Filed under: Pseudomonas psychrophila
Lineage: Bacteria; Pseudomonadati; Pseudomonadota; Gammaproteobacteria; Pseudomonadales; Pseudomonadaceae
Source: RNAcentral